AUUCCGUGAUGAGGGCACUUUCGUAAUAAUUCUUUGUACCUUUCUUAUGCCUCAUACAAUGGCUCAUCAUCCAUUUGUUGGAAAGCAGUGAUCUCAUUCUUCAACUU
Gossypium raimondii (Peruvian cotton) is the source of this 107-nucleotide non-coding RNA. The record is from Rfam. NCBI's taxonomy places the organism in Eukaryota, Viridiplantae, Streptophyta, Magnoliopsida, Malvales, Malvaceae.